UCAGCAAAAGGUUUUCAUUUAUUACAUAUUCACUCAUUUAAAAUUAGUAACUGUUGAAACACCCCUCCAGACAUCGCUACUUUCCUUUGGAAAACUUAAAUUAAAUAAACUUAAAACAGGUUUCAUUUCUUCAUCUCAGAUCACCUUUCCCUGAUGUGUCUUCAUCAUUUCAUUCCAAAUUAAAAGUUUCCUCAUUUCAAAAGUCUUAAACUUCCAAACUUUUUCUAAACUUUCUUUUGCCAUCACACCACAUACUGUUAGUUCAUAAAGUACAUUGUUUCAAAGCCCCACUCUGUUUGAGGGUCUUUGUGCAAAGCUUUGAAUCAGAGAUGCAUCACAAUAUCUGCCCUUACUAGAGAACUGCAAAAAUUGUAUUUACACUUCAACGUUUGCUCUCUUGCACAACAGAGAAACAUUUAAUGUACAAACAAUGCACAUAAAAAGGUCUGACUUGCAAAGUGCUGCAAAGACCGCAAAACAAGGCAACGCAAUGAUUUGUAUGAAAAAACUACAACCUCACAAGUGGAUGUUUCCUGGUGUCCUAGCAUGAAUACAGUAAAGUUAAUUCAAAAGGAAAGGAUGGACUGGCCAGCAGAUCCAGAUUCUGAACAAUUAUAAAUACAAUUUAAGUUACAAACAGUAAGUUGGUGCUAAAAUACUAAAUUACUAACAGUGACAGGCAUGCCCGCAGAAAUACAUGUCAAACAGAGCAAAAACUGAAUUGAACAUUCCACUCUGUAUGAAGGACAAAUGCAUGAUGAGCAAUCUCCAGAAUGUCUAUAGUACAUGGUAUAGUUUUAACACACACGUCAUGCCUUCAUAUUAUUAUGUUAAUGAAUUCAGCAAGGUUGACUUACUUAUUAUAUUUCCGGGUGCAUAAUAAAACAUAAAUGCUGACCUUUCUGCAUUUUAAAGCUGUAUACAAUCAAACACUGAAGAUGUACUGAUACAAUUCAAGCUAAUUUAGAUGUAAGGCUAAAUUGUGUCAUCAUUAAAGUUGUGUUGUAAAAUUACAAUCACAAAAAACAACAUAAUCUGUCAAAUCAAAGAUUAGUUUAGGAGGUGAUUGGAAGCAGAGCAAAGGCCUAAAAAUGGAUUAUUUUUCAAUUAUUUACAGUGUGGUGUUAUAAAAAACAUUUAAAAACAUCAUAUACAAGUUAGAAAAGGUCAAACUGCAGGAAAAUUAGCCACAUUACAAAAGGGCCUUGAUUCAUAGCCUCCAGCCAAUGACUAAAGUAGCACAUCAAGACCAAAAGCCAAGGCCCUGCAGCGUCCACUCAGAGUUCAGUCCUGUUGGGAACCAAGAAACAAAACAGUUUGUACAAAGCGCUUCCAUCUACUUAUUACUUAUUUGCAUUAAAUUUCCAUGAGUUUCCACAUGUAAAAUGUUUAAAUUGUACACAACAGGACGGUAGAUCACAUUUUCCCAUGCAGUUAUUACCCCCACUAGGAAAUAUAUAUUUAUAUACAGGAAUAUAUAUAUAUAUAUAUUUAUAUGAGCUAAAAGGAACUUCACAGAACCAUGGUGCACAAUCUUACAAUCUCUCCCAACCCAUUUAUUUUGUGAGUUGACCAGAAUCGAAUGAUCCAUGUUGUCAGAGAUGCUUAUGAAGUAUCUCACUUUAAUUCAUUGUUAGAUGUGAGGAGCCCUCAAUAGUAGUAUUUUGUCCUGUAAAGGGUCUUCAUGUGCAGGCUUGAUGUACUCCUUCUCAAAAGAAUUGCCCAACAAACUGUCAACUGAAUAAGAAGAAAUGGGAACAAAAAGUCAAGGGAAACAAACAGAGAGAUCCUCCUCUGCCAUUCUCCCUAAGGUUUCUUCAUAUUUUUCCUCUCUAUUAAAGGUUUUUGGGGGGCAGUUUUUCCUGUGCUAAUAAGAGAGUUGUAGAACAGAGGAUGUCGCACUGGUACAGACUGUAAAGCCCUCUGAGGAUAUUUUGUCAUUUUGGGGUAAUAAAAAUACAUUUUAUUUAAUUUGAUUGAAGGUGAUAAAUAAUUUAAAUAGGAAAAUUCAAUUACAUAACGCAGUGGAGUUGAUUUUAUUUCUGUCCUCUUCAUUUUGGUCCAAAUUAUUGAGGGCACUUAUGUACAACUACAAACUAAUAACUGCCAACAUUGUUGUUUGUAUAUAUAUUUAGUUAUUUAGCUUUGCACAACAUCAGUUAGAGCGCAGGUGGUACCUUGGUUAGUAGCUCCUGUCAUCAGUGUAAGAGUUGAUUUAGCUGAUUCAGCUGAUUGCACUUUUGUCCCUUUCCACACACAAAGCCACCGCAGCAUCAGUUGUUACCUGCAUGUGGCUUUUUCAGAUGAGAAGGGGAACACCAAAUGUUCUGCUGCUAUGUUGCAUGUUGUGUUUAUGUAAUUGCGGAUCAGAGGCCAUGUGAACCUGGCUUCUCACUCUCCCUGUCUUUAAAUGACUGGUCCUAUAAAAAGCCGCCUGACUGUGACCUGCCGUGCAGUGUGUUGAUGUCUAGCAGCAGCUGAAGCAGAGCUAGUUUACGCAUAACGAAUGCCUGUCGCCGAACCUUUAACUCCUGCUCACACUAUGGCUAACAUACAAAUUCAAACACCUCGCCCAUGAAAUAAUCUUAUAUCAACAUGAUCCUCCGUUUUGCCGCUGCAGUAUCAGAAUUCAGCUUGUGAAGGUGAAUGCCUGCUGAGGUUCUCAGGUGCUCAUGCAAGUCCGUUUGCAUGGAGUCACACACUCUUUAGUUGGGCUUUCUUUUCUCACUAUAUUCAAACUAUUGGCAGUGCGGAAAACUGGUGUUGUCAAAUAAAAAUUGAGUUGGGAUGAAGAACAUUUAAAUAAAUAUAUGAAUUUGUAU
Molecule: long non-coding RNA, 2822 nt
Organism: Gasterosteus aculeatus aculeatus (three-spined stickleback)
Lineage: Eukaryota; Metazoa; Chordata; Actinopteri; Perciformes; Gasterosteidae
Source: Ensembl